AGAGUAAGAAACAACGCGUGAAGUGCCGUGGGUACGGGGAGUUGACACACGGACGAAAAGCUAUGCUUGCGGUGUUGUUUCUGCAUCCCGCU
Molecule: non-coding RNA, 92 nt
Filed under: human gut metagenome
Description: THF riboswitch
Rfam family: THF (Tetrahydrofolate) riboswitch aptamer
About the family: THF riboswitch presents a pseudoknot that joins P1-P2 and the loop of P3 and two THF binding.
Source: RNAcentral